This is a long non-coding RNA of Melitaea cinxia (Glanville fritillary), 450 nucleotides long. RefSeq lists it as uncharacterized. The record is from RefSeq and is a predicted model, not a curated record. The transcript has 2 exons. NCBI's taxonomy places the organism in Eukaryota, Metazoa, Arthropoda, Insecta, Lepidoptera, Nymphalidae.
GAGGCCCAUCAUGCGUUAGUCGGCCAUAUUUGAAUUUUGAAUCACUUGUUUAUUUGUCUAUUUGUGUUUGUUCCAAAGAGUAAAAUAACUAGCUUGUUUGUUCAGUGUUCGUUGUGAUUUUAAUUUUAUUGUGUUAUUCCCUACUUUUUGGCUGGCUUGUUACUUGGACCCCGGACUGAUUGCAUGACUGAUAACUUGGCUCUUUAUUACGCGGAUUACAAUUUUUGCAAUUUUGAUUAUUUUAAAAUGCCGAAAUCAGCUGAAUUAAAAUGUUAUUUCAAAUGUGAUAUUGAUGGACCCUUACAUCGCUUUCCCAAAUGGGAAUAUCCUCAUACAGAGAAGUUAAACCAAUGAAAAUUUUAAAAUUUUGGUAGGAAUGAUCAUGUUAAAAAACAAGCAUCCGAUUAUUAUAAUAAAAGAUGAAAAUAAACAACAGUUUUAUAAAUUCUA